Molecule: ribosomal RNA, 253 nt
Filed under: uncultured bacterium
Lineage: Bacteria
Description: partial 16S ribosomal RNA
Rfam family: Bacterial small subunit ribosomal RNA
Source: RNAcentral
UACGGGGGGGGUAAGCGUUGUUCGGAAUUACUGGGCGUAAAGGGCUCGUAGGCGGCCAACUAAGUCGGACGUGAAAUCCCUCAGCUUAACUGGGGAACUGCGUCCGAUACUGGAUGGCUUGGAUUUGGGAGAGGGAUGCGGAAUUCCAGGUGUAGCGGUGAAAUGCGUAGAUAUCUGGAGGAACACCGGUGGCGAAGGCGGCAUCCUGGACCAAUAUUGACGCUGAGGAGCGAAAGCUAGGGGAGCAAACGGA